This 235-nucleotide ribosomal RNA is filed under the name uncultured bacterium. RNAcentral's name for it is "partial 16S ribosomal RNA". It matches the Rfam family "Bacterial small subunit ribosomal RNA", at positions 99 to 334 of the family's 1533-position model. The record is from RNAcentral.
CGGACGGGUGAGUAACGCGUGGGUAACCUGCCUCACACUGGGGGACAACAGUUAGAAAUGACUGCUAAUACCGCAUAAGCGCACAGGACCGCAUGGUCCGGUGUGAAAAACUCCGGUGGUGUGAGAUGGACCCGCGUUUGAUUAGCUAGUUGGUGAGGUAACGGCCCACCAAGCCGACGAUCAGUAGCCGACCUGAGAGGGUGACCGGCCACAUUGGGACUGAGACACGGCCCAG